CCAGUCAUUCCGUUGACUGAGCCUAAUAUCGACUGCAUUACUGGUAACGGUUUUGUAGUAAGCCGAUAUGAAAAUGUAGCCCUUUAAAACCAAAUCGUGAGAGGAGGUUGUUACUGUUAGCAGUGAAACGGUUAGGG
RNAcentral lists this non-coding RNA (137 nucleotides) under chicken gut metagenome. The record is from RNAcentral.